This is a long non-coding RNA of Magallana angulata, 821 nucleotides long. RefSeq lists it as uncharacterized. Lineage: Eukaryota; Metazoa; Mollusca; Bivalvia; Ostreida; Ostreidae. The record is from RefSeq and is a predicted model, not a curated record. The transcript is spliced from 3 exons.
UGCACAGAACAGUUUACAGUACGAAUGAUCAACAUUCUAAAAUAGGACAUACGGAUUAACAACAACGGAAUUUUGAAUUACCACGAAAUAAAAUGAUUCAUCUGUUUGAAUAAUGACCGAAAUAUUGGAUAUUGUGUGUGAAAGAGAAGAAAAGAAUUAUAUAUAUAUAGAUGCCGAUGGUUGGAUACAUGAAGAAAGAAAAAAAGAAAUGAAGACAACAAAUGAUGUCGGCCUAGUUAUGAUCGCUGUGUUGGUUUACACAUAAAAUCCAUGUGGCACAACCUCCAUCUAGAAGCCUGAGGAGGAAAGAUACACUAUGCGUGGGUUCACCAAUUCUUUGAAUGAAAUACAAAACUGUAUGCAGACAAAUUCACAAUUGAUUUUUGGUGGAACCACCAGGGGCCUGUGUGAAUGAGAUAUUUUAUGCUUUUCAAAAUAAUAGAAUCGCCAAUAUCUUAUUAUUGGUGGACCCACCAAGUUUAUUUGAAAGUGAGAUAGUCGAUGAAUAAAAUUGGUGGAAUCACCAGGGUCCUGUGUAUUUGAUAUAUUUGAUGCUGUUUUAAAUAAUAGAAUCGCCAUUAUCUUAUUAUUGGUGGACCCACCAAGUUUUUCAUAAGUGAAACAAUCGAUGAAUGAAAUUGGUGGAAUCACCAAUAUUAUGACUGUCAUUGUGGAAUAUGAAGGUUUAAAGAUACUGUAAAAUGUGCUUUUGUGUAAAAAAGAUGGUGGGUUUACCAAUUUAUGUUGUGUUCAACGACCAAAAUGAAUAAAAUUAAUGUUCAUUUCUGUUUUUGCAUUGUGUUCAUUUUUCAUUUUGCGCU